This 122-nucleotide non-coding RNA is filed under the name marine actinobacterium K362. RNAcentral describes it as "Marine actinobacterium SAM-I-IV sequence". It matches the Rfam family "SAM-I/IV (S-adenosyl methionine) riboswitch aptamer". Rfam says of the family: It is found upstream of a number of genes which code for proteins involved in methionine or cysteine biosynthesis. It has been found mostly in the order Actinomycetales. The record is from RNAcentral. Lineage: Bacteria; Bacillati; Actinomycetota; Actinomycetes.
GCUUGUUAUCAAGAGUGGUGCACUCCCGUGCACCCAGCAACCUGGGGUGGACACCCAAGGUGCUUUCCUACUUUGUAGGGAUAUGGCUGCGGUUUAUCGCCGGAGCAACAAACUGUCCGAGG